GACGAACGCUGGCGGCGUGCUUAACACAUGCAAGUCGAGCGGUAAGGCCCUUUCGGGGGUACACGAGCGGCGAACGGGUGAGUAACACGUGGGUGACCUGCCCUUAGCUCUGGGAUAAGCCUGGGAAACUGGGUCUAAUACCGGAUACGACUCCGCGGUGCAUGCUGUGGGGUGGAAAGCCUUGUGCGGCUGGAGAUGGGCCCGCGGCCUAUCAGCCUGUUGGUGGGGUGAUGGCCUACCAAGGCGACGACGGGUAGCCGGCCUGAGAGGGCGACCGGCCACACUGGGACUGAGACACGGCCCAGACUCCUACGGGAGGCAGCAGUGGGGAAUUGUUCGCAAUGGGCGCAAGCCUGACGACGCAACGCCGCGUGGAGGAUGAAGAUUUUCGGAUCGUAAACUCCUUUCGAUCGAGACGAAUGCCCUUUGGUAAUAGCCUGAAGGAAUGACGUACCGAGAGAAGAAGCCCGGCUAACUCCGUGCCAGCAGCCGCCGCCGUAAC
This 502-nucleotide ribosomal RNA is filed under the name uncultured bacterium. Its description in RNAcentral is "bacterial SSU rRNA". It matches the Rfam family "Bacterial small subunit ribosomal RNA", at positions 28 to 524 of the family's 1533-position model. The record is from RNAcentral.